GCAAACUUGGUCAUUUAGAGGAAGUAAAAGUCGUAACAAGGUCUCCGUUGGUGAACCAGCGGAGGGAUCAUUAACGAGUUUAUUAUAACUCCCAAACCCAUGUGAACUUACCUUCUGUUGCCUCGGCAGGCAGGUCCGCACAUCCUACCCUGUAGGACUCUACCCGGGACGAACCUGCCUUACAUUGUAAUGGACUCCAACCGGGAUUAGACCUACGCGGUAUAACGUGCGCUCCCCGCCUGCCGGUGGACCAUGAAACAAACUCUGUUUAAUAAGCUGGUAUUCUGAUCAUUAUAUGGAAAAUAAGUUAAAACUUUCAACAACGGAUCUCUUGGUUCUGGCAUCGAUGAAGAACGCAGC
Molecule: unclassified non-coding RNA, 360 nt
Filed under: uncultured fungus
Lineage: Eukaryota; Fungi
Description: partial contains small subunit ribosomal RNA, internal transcribed spacer 1, and 5.8S ribosomal RNA
Rfam family: Eukaryotic small subunit ribosomal RNA (bases 1-73)
Source: RNAcentral